Molecule: small nuclear RNA, 194 nt
Gene: U2
Rfam family: U2 spliceosomal RNA
About the family: U2 is a small nuclear RNA (snRNA) component of the spliceosome (involved in pre-mRNA splicing).
Source: Ensembl
AUUGCUUCUCGGCCUUUUGGCUAAGAUCAAGUGAAGUGUCUAUGCCUAUACAUAUAUAUAUAUACACAUAUAUGUCUGUCUGUAUACAACUAUAUGUUUAUACACACAUAUGUAUAUAUACAUGUGUGUUUAUAUACACAUACAUAUAUGUGUAUUUGUAUAAAUAUAUACUUACACACAUAUGCAUAUGUGUU